CUGAGUGUGGCGCAGUCUGGUAGCGCAUCUGCUUUGGGUGCAGAGGGUCGCAGGUUCGAAUCCUGCCACUCAGACCA
RNAcentral lists this transfer RNA (77 nucleotides) under Methanobacteriota archaeon. RNAcentral's name for it is "Euryarchaeota archaeon tRNA-Pro". It matches the Rfam family "tRNA". Rfam says of the family: Transfer RNA (tRNA) molecules are approximately 80 nucleotides in length. The record is from RNAcentral. Lineage: Archaea; Methanobacteriati; Methanobacteriota.